RNAcentral lists this ribosomal RNA (502 nucleotides) under Bugula neritina. Its description in RNAcentral is "partial 16S ribosomal RNA". It matches the Rfam family "Bacterial large subunit ribosomal RNA", at positions 1895 to 2629 of the family's 2925-position model. Lineage: Eukaryota; Metazoa; Bryozoa; Gymnolaemata; Cheilostomatida; Bugulidae. The record is from RNAcentral.
CCUUCUNGCCCUACCAGUUCUAUCUGCCCCGGUGACCAUCGUUUAACGGCCGCGACUAAGUGCUAAGGUAGCAUAAUAAUUUGUCUUUUUAUUGGAGACUAGAAUGAAAGAAGAUAACUAGGCUUAACUGUCUCCAACCAACCUAUUAAAAUUGAUUUAAGAGUGAAAAAUCUCGUAUACUAGGGAGAAGGACGACACGACCCUGUUGAGUUUGUACUGCAAUUAAUAAAUUAAUUAAUGCACUUUUAUUGGGGCAAUACAAGAUCACAUUUAAACUCUUUUAAAAGGUCUUCGACAUAUCAAACAAAAGAUCCUCCUACAGAAAAACCAAAGACUACCUCAGGGAUAACACCGUCAUUCUUCCCUAGAGAUCUAAUUGAAGGAAUGAGUUUGCUACCUCAAUGUUGGCCUAAUUGUAACUCUUAAAAUGCAUACGGUUAUCUAACCCGAGCCUGUCCGGCUUUUAAAACCUUCCAUGAUCUGAGUUCAGACUCAAUACCCG